Molecule: long non-coding RNA, 328 nt
Filed under: Zostera marina
Lineage: Eukaryota; Viridiplantae; Streptophyta; Magnoliopsida; Alismatales; Zosteraceae
Description: long non-coding RNA (ZMAR_LNC004030)
Source: RNAcentral
AUAAAUAAAGUAGAAAGGGGGCGACAAGGCUGCAAGGACCCAAAGAACAAGGGUAAGCGCCAACGCUCAAGGAGUCCAGAUUCAGACACUGACCACAAAAGAAGGGUAAUUAACUUAAUCUUCGGUGGAGGAUCGGUAGGAGAAAGCAGAAGUUACUCGCGCAAAGUGAUGCAGACAACAGCGGUACCAAAAUCUAAAAAAAGAUCGUACCCAAGCGAGGAAAUAAGCUUCUCUGAGGAAGAUCUGGACAACGUGGUCAGCCCACACGAGGAUCCACUAGUAAUACAAGUGGAUAUAGGGGAUGACUUAAGUCUGAACAAAGUAAUGG